ACCCUUUUAGUAUAUAAGUAUAUUUAACUUCCAAUUAAAAGGAUUAGUUUAAUCUAAAAAGGGUA
RNAcentral lists this transfer RNA (65 nucleotides) under Valentia hoffmanni. Its description in RNAcentral is "tRNA-Gly". The record is from RNAcentral. Lineage: Eukaryota; Metazoa; Arthropoda; Insecta; Hemiptera; Reduviidae.